GAAAGGGAUUUGGGUGCUGAAUCCCAGAAUCAGGCGGCCAUGGAAGAGCCUGACAUCCAUCUGACAUGGACUGAGAAGAACAAUGCAAAGACUAGAACAAGUGAGAUGUUUUACAGCUCCAGAAAGCUAAGCAAACCACCUCACAGACUGAGAACAUAAGGAUCGACACCGUCUUAACAAGGAUGACGUUGGGGCUUUGAUAGAUUGCUCCACGAGGAGCAGUAGUCUUAAUGCCAUGAAGAUUUGCCAGAAUAAUAACCAGCGACCUUAGCAAGUAAAACCCAAGUCUCGGAAUCCGAAUGUGUUCAUCAGUAUGCUCCCUGGCACUAAUGGUAACAACUUCCCGGAGCUAGAGCUUGGUAUGAAACAGGAAUCUCCAGCACGAGAUAAAGCAGUAGCUUAUGGACUGAUGUACUACCUUCAGCCACCACCAUGUGCAUCUAAGGGAGAGAAGAGCUGUACCAGACAUUUCUCCACAGCCCACAGAGUGCCCUUGAUACUCACUCACUCCCUUUGGUUCACUGACACCUCGAGAGAGGACAGAAGCACAAUUACCAUGUCUCACUGGAAGAGGACUCAAGACAGACACCAUAUUUGGAUCUCCAUAGCAUUCUUGGUUUUUCAGUGUUUCAGAAACUUGCCUCUGUGGCUCCCUUUUCCUUCUGCAGGACUUCCACCCACAAGUCAGCCUAGAUACUGCAGCUGAAGGAUAACCAGCACUGUGUGGCAAAACCAGCUGGAAGAGCAGGAGAGGGUUACGAAGAACGGGAAUUUCAUCUCUCCGUACAGGAAAAAAAAUACGCUGGUUUUCUAACAAGAACAACCCUGCAAAGAUAUUGAUG
This is a long non-coding RNA of Calidris pugnax (ruff), 842 nucleotides long. RefSeq lists it as uncharacterized. The transcript is spliced from 4 exons. The record is from RefSeq and is a predicted model, not a curated record. NCBI's taxonomy places the organism in Eukaryota, Metazoa, Chordata, Aves, Charadriiformes, Scolopacidae.